GGGUUGUGAGGUUAAGCGACUAAGCGUACACGGUGGAUGCCCUGGCAGUCAGAGGCGAUGAAGGACGUGCUAAUCUGCGAUAAGCGUCGGUAAGGUGAUAUGAACCGUUAUAACCGGCGAUUUCCGAAUGGGGAAACCCAGUGUGAUUCGUCACACUAUCAUUAACUGAAUCCAUAGGUUAAUGAGGCGAACCGGGGGAACUGAAACAUCUAAGUACCCCGAGGAAAAGAAAUCAACCGAGAUUCCCCCAGUAGCGGCGAGCGAACGGGGAGCAGCCCAGAGCCUGAAUCAGUGUGUGUGUUAGUGGAAGCGUCUGGAAAGGCGUGCGAUACAGGGUGACAGCCCCGUACACAAAAAUGCACAUGCUGUGAGCUCGAUGAGUAGGGCGGGACACGUGGUAUCCUGUCUGAAUAUGGGGGGACCAUCCUCCAAGGCUAAAUACUCCUGACUGACCGAUAGUGAACCAGUACCGUGAGGGAAAGGCGAAAAGAACCCCGGCGAGGGGAGUGAAAAAGAACCUGAAACCGUGUACGUACAAGCAGUGGGAGCACAGAGCAAUCUGUGUGACUGCGUACCUUUUGUAUAAUGGGUCAGCGACUUAUAUUCUGUAGCAAGGUUAACCGAAUAGGGGAGCCGAAGGGAAACCGAGUCUUAACUGGGCGUUAAGUUGCAGGGUAUAGACCCGAAACCCGGUGAUCUAGCCAUGGGCAGGUUGAAGGUUGGGUAACACUAACUGGAGGACCGAACCGACUAAUGUUGAAAAAUUAGCGGAUGACUUGUGGCUGGGGGUGAAAGGCCAAUCAAACCGGGAGAUAGCUGGUUCUCCCCGAAAGCUAUUUAGGUAGCGCCUCGUGAAUUCAUCUCCGGGGGUAGAGCACUGUUUCGGCAAGGGGGUCAUCCCGACUUACCAACCCGAUGCAAACUGCGAAUACCGGAGAAUGUUAUCACGGGAGACACACGGCGGGUGCUAACGUCCGUCGUGAAGAGGGAAACAACCCAGACCGCCAGCUAAGGUCCCAAAGUCAUGGUUAAGUGGGAAACGAUGUGGGAAGGCCCAGACAGCCAGGAUGUUGGCUUAGAAGCAGCCAUCAUUUAAAGAAAGCGUAAUAGCUCACUGGUCGAGUCGGCCUGCGCGGAAGAUGUAACGGGGCUAAACCAUGCACCGAAGCUGCGGCAGCGAC
Molecule: ribosomal RNA, 1181 nt
Filed under: Escherichia coli
Lineage: Bacteria; Pseudomonadati; Pseudomonadota; Gammaproteobacteria; Enterobacterales; Enterobacteriaceae
Description: bacterial LSU rRNA
Rfam family: Bacterial large subunit ribosomal RNA
Source: RNAcentral